Manis pentadactyla (Chinese pangolin) is the source of this 5380-nucleotide long non-coding RNA. RefSeq lists it as uncharacterized. The record is from RefSeq and is a predicted model, not a curated record. Lineage: Eukaryota; Metazoa; Chordata; Mammalia; Pholidota; Manidae. The transcript has 3 exons.
GGUAGACAUAAAGUGUGAAUAUUUAUGCACAAUAUGUUAGUGCCCACCACUUGGCAAGUGAUCUGAGAGACUUUAUGCCCAAAAGACAACACUAAAGAAAUAUCACUGAGCAAUCACAUAGACAAAAUAACUUGGCCAAUUGAAGUUAGGCAUUCAUUGUCCUCGACCACUGGAGAACUGGAACAAAGGGCAAUGAGCUGAGUGGACAUGGUAGCAGAGAUCACAUCUACACAUGGGCUCAACAGCACAGACUCCCAGUAAUCAAGGCUGACUAAGUACUGCUGCCUCUGAAUACCCAGUACCUGAACAGGAGGGACCAAUAAUGAGCCCUCCAGGAGAGCAGCUGGCCACUGGUGGCAGUUUGACUACCUCGUGCGCACUAGAAAGGCCUGCAGUUUGCCCUACAAGGAAAGAUAUCUAUAUUUCAGGCAUGGAUUUGCUUUUCUAUAUGUCACACCUCAGCUGGCUUCACUAUCCCUGACGCCCUUAUGGAGUCACGUGUCCUUAGUGUAGCAGGUCCCUCUUUGAUGUUCCCAAUGCUCCUUUUGAAUACCCCAAUUACAUAUAUAGUAGGUUGAAAUUAUUUACUUAAAUAAUUUAUAGUUAAUAGUUGUUAUAUGCUAUAUCUCAUUUAAUCCUCAAAAUAAAUCUUUAAGAUAAUACACAAUAGUACUCCUGUUUCAGAGCUGAGGAAACUGAAGCUAUAAAGAGGCUAAAAAUUUGCCCAAGAUCAAUAGCUAGGAAGUGAUGUAGAAAUAAAUUCAGUCCUGACAUUCUUCCUGCAGAGUAUAUAUACUUAACCAUUAUGGAAAUGAUCUCUAUUAUAAUCUGUUUACACAUUUUUGUCCCUUAUGAGGCUUUAAGUCUUUAGUGUCUUGUCCGUGGCUAAUACAAUAUCUAGCAUGUGGUACUCACAACAGGUUUUCUGAAUUUAUAAAGAGGGGGAGAAAAGGUUCUGGACUUGGGCAGUGAUAGUUGACUUUUGGACUUCUGGGGGUAAAGCAGUAGUUAAAUUGCCAUGACUUACACAUUUUAACCUUUUAUUUCACUGAGAAGACAAACAGUACAUUACAUGGUGUUUUGAUUACCCCCUUUCCUAUUUCUUUGUAAGUUGGUGUUCUAGCUAUCCAUUGAUGAGUAACAAAUUAUUCCAGAACUAAGUGACAACAGCCAUUUAUUAAAUCUCAUGAUUUUGUGGAUCAGGAAUUCUAGAUGAGCUCAGAUCAGCAAUAUGUCUGCUCCACAUGUAUUAACUGAGGUCAAUUGAUAGUAUUUAACUGGCAGAUUGCUGGUCUGGAGUCCCUUAGACAGCUUUGUUCACAUAUCCUGUAUCUUAGCAGUGAUGGCUGGUGGGCUAGGAUUAGCUGGGACUAUUAACAAGUGCAUCUACACAUGGUCUUAAUGAUUGCCUGUUUGUGUGUAAAGACAACAAAGAUGAUCUUCCUUAUUCAAUCCUAAAAUUCUAUAUUCUUUGGGGGACUUCCCUUAAAAAGGAAGAAGGCAAUUUUCCAUCCUUUCAUUUUUGACACAGAAUUGAAUUACCACUACGUGCAGAGAAGCAUCUAGAGGCAGUUAGGCAGAAGUACGGUUAGAUCUGUGAGCUUGGGCAAACCACUUCAACUCCUUGAGAUUUAAUCAUCUUAGCUGUGAAAAGGGGACAGUAAUACCUGCCUAAAGUUUAAAAAUUGUUUUGAGGUUCUGGAAGUAUUAACACAUGGGAAAAUAUUACAUACUGUAAACCACUUUUGUAUAAACAGAGCUAUUGACUCAAGAAAAUAAGACACAAUUGGAAUGGGAUAUAGCACAAUUAUGCAAAAAAAAUAUGGGAUAUAGUGACUGACUUAAACUAGCAUAAACCAAAGACAUGUUGUUUGAAAGGAAAGAAAGAUUGUAUCUGGUUGCAACAGCAGGGAAAGCUUUAUUAUUAUUAUUAUUCAAUGAUUCCAUUUUCUCACCUAUGUAGGAACCUAAUGGUGAUAUUAUACUCAAGUUCACAGAAGUCAAAAUGUCUCUGUAGUCCAGCUAUAACUGGAGUUUUCUGGACAAGAAUGAUUUGGUUUCUAGAAAUGAUCUGCACAAUUCAGCACUGUUAUUAGACAGUCUCUGUUACUUUAAUGCUAAUAAUAGGACCUGCCAAAUAAUCUGAUGAGGAAAGCUAAGGUAUGCAAGAUUUCAUCAGAGCAGGCUGCACCCAUGGCCUCUGGAAAUUUUCAUCAUGUGGUGGAGCCCUGGGUGCCUAUCUGGAAAUCAAGAGCCCCAACACCUCAGUCAUCAACCCAGCUCCACAUGGCAAAGGAGCAUGUUUCCUGCAUUAAAUAUACUUUGCUGCAGUGAACUGACUCAGAUGUGGUAUUUUAAUUGGCAUUAAACAGAAUUAUUAUUUAAUUAAAGCAGAGGCUAAUUAAUUUUCUGAGUCAUUGUGCAAAAGAUGCUAUAUUCCAGUCAAAACCAAUUUAAUUGAAUAACAUCAAAUAUUCAAUUUGGUGCCUUCGGGAGGUCUAUUUUGUAUCUUUUAUUUUCUUAUCCAAAUGGAUACUUCUAUUAGAGAUAGUUUAAGAUAGAGUAUUUAGAUUUGUUAAAUGUCACAGUGGAAAGGGACUUUACAGAACUCCUCCUGCUUGGAUAUUUUAUAGAUAGGGAAAAUGAAAUUCAGAUAGUGAAAAACAAUCUUCCAAAAUUAAACACCUAGUCAGGCCUGUAUCAGUCCUGGGAAAUGGUUCUUGACUCUCAUUCCACUAUUCUUAGAAAGGUGAGCUUUCUGAGAGAAUCUAUGUCAUGUCAACACUAGAAGCAACCUCACAAACGAUCCUUCCAGUAUCCCAUUUUAUUCUUGGGGAAACUGAGGACCAGUGAUGGUAAAGACUUGCUAAGUCAUACAGCCGAGCCAGGGCAAGAGCCCCACUUUAUAGUCUAUAAUCUGUCUACCGUAGCGUGGCCUCCUUCCCUCGUCGAGUAUCCAUGCCCUUGGCACUUAGAUUCGGUCUGCAUCUCACCACAUAAUUCUGAACCUACCAAUUUCUUGCAUGUAGUUUUCUGCAAUUAGCUUUGAAAACUCUCAAGGAGAGGGUCUUAGCUGCCUCUACUUCUCUCUUCUGAAGGACUGGGUACAUGGAUGUCCUCAGUAUAAGUUGACCACAGUGACUUCCCAAAGACCUAGAAUGCAAACAAUUAGAAGGACUAAAGAUCUAGAAGGUGAUGACUACUUAUUCAGAAUGGAAUAGUCCAUCUCUGUAGUCAGAUGGAGCAGGGUUUGAAUACAGACUCUUGUACUUACUCACUUUCUGGCAUUCUGACCUCAAUUCUCUCAUCUGAAAAUGGUCAUUAUAGCACUUCCUUCACAUGUUGUAAAGAUAAAGUGAAGAAAAUAUAUAAGCUGCUUGGAAAAUACUUGGUAAAUAGUAAGUACCCAAGCAAUGCAUCCUCAUUUAUAUAUUUCCACAGAGUGGAUGGGUAAAAAUGCAUUACAACUUCCCUAUUAUUAGAGGGCAAAGGCCUCGACACACCUGGGGAGUUUUUCAUUUUUUGUAACAUUGCCGAAUAUAUUGGACGGGUAGAAAGAACCAUGCUCAAUGUUCCUGUUUUGUUCUGACACUUUUUGUUUGAAAUAUCUUCACCAACAUUGAGUUCUCCGAGGUUUUUCAGGAGGGAGUGGCUCUUAAAUGCAAACCCUGUGCAUUUGUUGCAAUCUCCAUUUCCACUGCCAUUUUUUCCAACUAAACCACAGCAAGGAAGAAACUAAUGGUGGUCGGCUGUUGAGAGCUUUUAGGCAUAUUUCUAUCUUUACUACAGAGGAAGGGAGGUCAGUUUGUUCCAGUUAAGGCCAGUAUGGAGCCAGAGGUCUGUUCUUAUGUCAUGAAUUUGUCUGGGGUGAAGAAAUCCAGCCAUGCCUGAGAUGGCUGUCUUCUUGCUGUGCACCCUCAGCAAUGAUUUACCGGUUGUGCAUAAUCCCCAGCCAUGCCCUGGGGGAGGAGGGCUGCUGCCAAGUUCUCCCUUGAGGAGCACGUGCGUCUUCUUCUGGACUACAUAUCAGGGUGAGAUGUGGGCGGCUGGGUUUGCGGUGAAGGGAGAUAGGUGAAAUCUGUCAGCAACUCUUGCAUCAAAUGUUUUCUGUGUUUCAAAUUUGGGUUUCUAAACUGCCUGGGCUUAUUUCAAUGAUCCGUCUGGACCUGUGGGUCUCAGCCAAGGACUUAGGGGACAUCGUAACUGCUGCCAGGGGAAAUAGUCCCUAAAGAACUGUGGGGAUAAGCUCAUGAGGAAACAACUUUUUCGCCAAAGGCCUGAGGACAAUUGCAAAAUCCAAGAAGGAAAAGGAGAGAGAAAGUGGUUUUCUGAAUCACAAAACUGUUUCAUGGAAAGCACAAAACAACCCUAGUCGAGGGCCCUCUCUCCUACUGAGAUGAGCCCUUUAAGACUACAGCAAACCCAAUUCUGAAGGGACCAUCUGGUCUGAGGGAUUGCUAAGCAUCCCAGAGAGAAUAUCCUUUAUAUUUCAGUAGGAGUAUUAUCAAAGAAAUCUAUCUUCUUUUGUGACUCAGAACCAUAAAACAGCAUCAAACUGAAUUUACAGUUCCAAUUCUCCCCACUCUUGGACACGGGUAAGAGAUAAAUCAUUUUCUCCACAUAUUUUUAGUUAUGGAGUUUGAAUCUUAGAGAGUUAAAUUCUUUCUAAGGAAGGAUCCUUAGAGAUCACCAAUCUUCUGAUUCAGUAACGGUGGAAACAGGCUGAGCAUAAAAGAUUGAUUCUGAAGAGCACGGGAUUCAAAAAUGGCAUCAGUCAUGCAACACUCUUCCCAGUGUUCUUUCUAAAACAUUCAUUAUACAUGCCCAGCACUAUUGGGUGUGGUUAUAUAAUGCAUAUCACCUAGUUUGUAAUGUGAGAGGCAACUGAGAUCAGUCAGUAAAGCCUUGGAAAUAAGUAAAGUCAAAAAAGGUUGGGAUGAUUAGCUAAGGAAUAGAAAGACAUCAGAUGCUUGGCUCAUUUGAGUGGGAAGGAGAUAUGACCAUUAAAUGUGGAACAGAAAUCAGAAAAUAAAUAAAUAAAUAAAAGCCAAUGGAAGAUGCCAGUUAAACGAAAGGCAGGAACACUGGGUCAGUGCUAAUGACCAUGUGCCUCAACAGUAGCUGUGCACAAGGGUGUUUUGCCAUGUGCAUACAUGCAGCUUAAUUGGAACAUUGUCACUGAGCUAAAUGACACAUGGUAGCAAUCUUGCAUGUUUAUGAGCUGCUGUCAAUGCUGCCAACUUGAUUAUAAAGGAGCUUUGUUCCAAAGGCUUUGUUAAUUGCUGUAUCACUAUAAUGUUACAGAUGGCUUAUCAAAGAUGUCAAUGAAAUUGGGAAGUGGAGUACUGAGAAGCUUGGUUCAUCACCCACCACAUUCUCC